UACGUAGGUGGCAAGCGUUAUCCGGAUUUAUUGGGCGUAAAGAGAACGCAGGCGGUCUUUUAAGUCUGAUGUGAAAGCCUUCGGCUUAACCGGAGUAGUGCAUUGGAAACUGGGAGACUUGAGCGCAGAAGAGGAGAGUGGAACUCCAUGUGUAGCGGUGAAAUGCGUAGAUAUAUGGAAGAACACCAGUGGCGAAAGCGGCUCUCUGGUCUGUAACUGACGCUGAGGUUCGAAAGCGUGGGUAGCAAACAGG
This 253-nucleotide ribosomal RNA is filed under the name uncultured bacterium. Its description in RNAcentral is "partial 16S ribosomal RNA". It matches the Rfam family "Bacterial small subunit ribosomal RNA", at positions 524 to 776 of the family's 1533-position model. The record is from RNAcentral.